This 256-nucleotide ribosomal RNA is filed under the name uncultured bacterium. Its description in RNAcentral is "partial 16S ribosomal RNA". It matches the Rfam family "Bacterial small subunit ribosomal RNA", at positions 524 to 776 of the family's 1533-position model. The record is from RNAcentral.
UACGUAGGGUGCAAGCGUUUGUCCGGAAUUAUUGGGCGUAAAGAGCUCGUAGGCGGUUUGUCGCGUCGAAUGUGAAAACCCGGGGGCUCAACCCCCGGGCCUGCAUUCGAUACGGGCAGACUAGAGUUCGGUAGGGGAGUCUGGAAUUCCUGGUGUAGCGGUGAAAUGCGCAGAUAUCAGGAGGAACACCGGUGGCGAAGGCGGUGGUCUGGGCCGGAACUGACGCUGAGGAGCGAAAGCGUGGGUAGCAAACAGG